GUAGUCCACGCUGUAAACGAUGGGUGCUAGCUGUUCGGGGGUUACCCUUGAGUGGCGCAGCUAACGCGUUAAGCACCCCGCCUGGGGAGUACGGUCGCAAGAUUAAAACUCAAAGAAAUUGACGGGGACCCGCACAAGCGGUGGAACAUGUGGUUUAAUUCGAGGCAACGCGAAGAACCUUACCAGGGUUUGUAUGCUCUUCAUAGGACUCCCAAAAGAGUCCGUCAGUUCGGCUGGAAGAUGCACAGGUGCUGCAUGGCUGUCGUCAGCUCGUGUCGUGAGAUGUUGGGUUAAGUCCCGCAACGAGCGCAACCCUCAUCCUUUGUUGCCAUCAUUAAGUUGGGCACUCUAAGGAAACUGCCGGUGAUAAGCCGGA
This 376-nucleotide ribosomal RNA is filed under the name uncultured bacterium. RNAcentral's name for it is "bacterial SSU rRNA". It matches the Rfam family "Bacterial small subunit ribosomal RNA", at positions 790 to 1167 of the family's 1533-position model. The record is from RNAcentral.